GACGAACGCUGGCGGCGUGCUUAAUACAUGCAAGUCAACUGAACUUAAGGUAGUAAUACUUUAAGGGAGGUGGCGCACGGGUGAGUAACACGUAGGUAAUCUGCCUUUAGGUCUGACAUAACCCCGAGAAAUCGGGGCUAAUUUCAGAGUGAUGCAGCGGCUCGACAUCGAGACAGUUGUUAAAUCUUCGGAGCCUAAAGAUGAGCCUGCGUCUGAUUAGGUAGUUGGCGGAGU
This 234-nucleotide ribosomal RNA is filed under the name uncultured bacterium. RNAcentral's name for it is "partial 16S ribosomal RNA". It matches the Rfam family "Bacterial small subunit ribosomal RNA", at positions 28 to 258 of the family's 1533-position model. The record is from RNAcentral.